CGACCGGGUGAGUAACACGUGACUAACCUACCUUCGAGUGGGGGAUAACCUCGGGAAACCGAGGCUAAUACCGCAUAAUGUCCUUGGGUCGAAACAUCUGAAGAUCAAAGCAGCAAUGCUCUUGAAGAAGGGGUCGCGGCUGAUUAGCCAGUUGGCGGGGUAACGGCCCACCAAAGCGAAGAUCGGUAGCCGGCCUGAGAGGGCGCACGGCCACACUGGAACUGAAACACGGUCCAG
RNAcentral lists this ribosomal RNA (237 nucleotides) under uncultured bacterium. Its description in RNAcentral is "partial 16S ribosomal RNA". It matches the Rfam family "Bacterial small subunit ribosomal RNA", at positions 99 to 334 of the family's 1533-position model. The record is from RNAcentral.